This 228-nucleotide unclassified non-coding RNA is filed under the name plant metagenome. Its description in RNAcentral is "partial contains small subunit ribosomal RNA, internal transcribed spacer 1, and 5.8S ribosomal RNA". The record is from RNAcentral.
UCUCCGUAGGUGAACCUGCGGAGGGAUCAUUACAGAGUUCAUGCCCUACCGGGUUGAUCUCCCACCCUAUGUUAUUAUUACUUUGUUGCUUUGGCGGGCCGUAGGCCCCGGCCCGACUACCGGCCCAGGCUGGUAAGCGCCCGCCAGAGGACCCAAAACCCUGAAUAUUAGUGUCGUCUGAGUACUAUAUAAUAGUUAAAACUUUCAACAACGGAUCUCUUGGUUCUG